AGGCGUCCACCUGGUGUACAAUUAAGAAACACAUCAGUCCCGCGUGGCGUGCGGCCACACCGUUUACCGGCCGGUCAUCAUACAGCGCGUGUUCACGGGUGGCUGGGUUGUUGCUGUCACCCCCUUCUAUCGUUGCUUAAUUUGGCUUAAGUAUGAUAUCUACAUUUUUGUCCGAAAAAGUAGCCAAGGCUACUUAUUAAUAUCAUCACAGAAUCUGCCUUCAUUAACUGACUGAGAAGAAGAUGCAUAGACGCUUUAUUUUGUGUAAUGUCAGUCCCCGACAGCAGGAUAAAACCUCUUUAAAUACCACAGACAAUCCCCGAAACAACCUAGUAUUCGUUUUUGAAGAAUACCAAGAAAUGUCGCCUGUCUGCAUUAUAAAUGCGCUGUGGCACAGUCAGCCGCGACUGCAUUUUUGCAUCGCAGUGCACACAAAUCCAGGUAACAUCUGGUCGGCUUCCGCCGAAAUACGCUGACUUUCUUUGUUACAGGUAGGCAUUUAAAAUAUAGUUAUUUGUUAGAGCACAAAAAUCCUCAAAGAUAGCGUUUACGGAAACCUAAGCCCACUACUUGGUCGCAGGUAGGCUAUAUAUUAACGGGCGAACAGAUGCAAAUGCACAUCUUGGCAGCUAGCCUGUGCAGCCUGCCGCACGCUGGAUUUUUUCUUGUGUCAGACGGCACAAAGGAUUCGGAUGUGAACUUGACGGAAUGUUCACCAUUGUAACGCGGCUGUCUGCUGCCCCGCUGCACUUAGCAUUUCGUGCUCGCAAUUAGGCUGCUGCAAGGGCAAAUACACCAUCCGGACCCAAUACCAAAAGUAUAGCACCCAUAGCCAGAUACUGCACAACAAUUGGUUAUAUUGUUAUAUUAUUACCAUAUAAUAUAAAUAGGGUGAACAAAAAGCAAACGUAAGCAAUGCUUACUCUCAAAACCACUAAAAACAUUGCUUCACCACGAUUCAAUCCGUAAGCAAACGUAGGAGGCUGUGCGUAUUUAAGUAAUAAUUAAUAACCGGUGGAAGAUGACAGACGGGACGUAGUCCAGGUACCUGUUUUAGUGCCUCUAUCGCAAUCCAUCACGCACAGUUCAGAGGAUGCACUAUAAGUACACAUAUAAAUCCUGUCUGAUUGCAGCCCUCCAGCACCAGAGCUGGAUAACACUGGUGUGCAUCUCUAUCACAGGACUUCAGGCCAGCAGUGAAGAUAGAAAUCAGAAUGACAAAUUGGGACGGACUGAAGAAGACCAGUGAUGCACCUUUCUUGUUUCAUUCAGCAACAACAAGAAACACUUUGAUGAAUGUUUCCUGCUCUUGGUCUGCCAAUAUGAUGGGGCUUGGCCUGCUUCUUAAAAAUUCCUGUUAAACUCUCAACCACUAGAAUUUCUGGUUGGAUAAACUCUAAAAAUUUUACAUUUUAAAGAAUAAAGUUAACGAUAAUUAAAUAUACUCACCAUCUAAUUGAGGUGUUAUCUUCACAUUCAGCCAUUUGUUUUGGUAAGGGAAAAAGAAGGGAAAUUAACUGCCGAUGUUAACAUGGAUAAAAUAUAACCACACCUCCGGUAUUUUUAUUCAUUUCCAAACAAACCUAUGCUGGGCCACACUUAUUUGUGAACUGAGCCAUACUUUCCUGAUCAAAGGGUUCACAGAUCCUAUGCUGACUGCCUCCCAUGCCUCAUAAGUGUAUUGGCCCAUCAAAGUUAUCCAUCAUAAGCAGUCAUAAUUUCUUGUCUGUUCAGUUCAGUGGAAUUUUCUAGCACCAGGACCGAUAAACACCUGUCUAAGGGGAAAAAACAGAUUGCCUGUCCUUAAUAUGCAACACCACAAGGAUUGUGUACUGUAUAUUGCAGACUAAGCAUAUUCUAGGCCUGGAUCACAACCCACAGCUGGUUGUAAAUGUCAAUCACCAAGCCAUGAGAGGAUGAGUCUAUGAAUUUGUCUAAUAAUUUAAAAAGGCUGAGGGAUUGAUAUUAUAUUUUCACUGUUUCUCUGAAAUCAUCUCCAAACCUGGUCUCAUAAUAGAGGACUACUCAUGAGAGACAAUACCUAACAUCUUAUGAGAGAAAAUAAAGUAUAUUUUACAGCCAAUGUCCAAUAACAGGGUCAAUGAUAUGAUAGUAUCUCAUCAAAAAUACUUUAAGCAUAAAAAAGACAAGUUACUCAUACACAAAGUGUACACUCUCAAGUAUAAUAUUAUAAUAUAUUGUAUUAUGAUUUUCAGAAAGAUUCAGAUGGUUUCUCCUUCACAGAACUAUUCGUUUUUCCAGCAGCUCAUCUACGAAUUAAUCCUAAUUUGCU
Anguilla rostrata (American eel) is the source of this 2293-nucleotide long non-coding RNA. RefSeq lists it as uncharacterized. The record is from RefSeq and is a predicted model, not a curated record. The transcript has 3 exons. NCBI's taxonomy places the organism in Eukaryota, Metazoa, Chordata, Actinopteri, Anguilliformes, Anguillidae.